This 411-nucleotide long non-coding RNA is filed under the name Rattus norvegicus (Norway rat). RNAcentral describes it as "long non-coding RNA NONRATT007038". The record is from RNAcentral. Lineage: Eukaryota; Metazoa; Chordata; Mammalia; Rodentia; Muridae.
UGCCCAGGCCCCCUGAGGAGCCUGGGCGUGAGGAGGGAGCUGAGCAUUCAAGUGUCCUCUCCUGAGAGAAGAUGCUGGGACCAGCGAGAACACCAAGGCCCCGGAGAUGAAAUCCCGGAGACCCAAGAGCUCUCUUACGCCUGUGCUAGGAACGGAAAGUGAUGCUACUGUGAAAAAGAAACCUGCCUCCAAGACACCUACAAAAGCAGCUAUGCCUCCUCAGAUCAUCCAGUUCCCUGAGGACCAGAAGGUGCGUGCUGGAGAGCCAGUGGAGCUGUUUGGGAAAGUGACCGGUACCCAGCCCAUCACCUGCACGUGGAUGAAGUUCCGAAAGCAGAUCCAGGAGAGCGAGAACAUCAGGGUGGAGAACAGUGAGAGCGGCAGCAAGCUCACCAUCCUGGCUGCACGGCA